RNAcentral lists this ribosomal RNA (589 nucleotides) under Tulasnella sp. LH94. Its description in RNAcentral is "eukaryotic LSU rRNA". The stretch from base 166 to 329 matches the Rfam family "5.8S ribosomal RNA". Lineage: Eukaryota; Fungi; Basidiomycota; Agaricomycetes; Cantharellales; Tulasnellaceae. The record is from RNAcentral.
UGAGUUCGCUUUUCCGUUGUCCUCGGGACGUUAAUGCGCUCUGGUCGAGGAUAAAUGACCCCUCUGACCGAGGUCAAACCUGUCGCUGUGUUACCUCUUUACCGAGGCACACGUUAAAGAUCGUUCCGCGUUGUGAGUCUAACACCAGUUGUAUAAACUUUUUACAACCGGUAGCGAUGGAUCCCUUGGCACGUCAUUCGAUGAAGACCGUUGCAAAUUGCGAUAAAGUGAUGUGAUGCGCAAGUCCACCACUUAUACGUGAAUCAUCGAGUUGUUGAACGCAUUGCACCGCGCCCUAAUCCGGCUGCGGUAUGCCCCUUUGAGCGUCAUUGUAUUCCUUCGGGAGUCCUUUUAACUAAGGACCCGAGUUCGGAGUCCUCGGUCCUUCGGGAUCGGGUUCCCUUAAAGGCUUCCCACCAAUCGCCGGAGGGGCCCCCUAAGGCCUAGCCGGGAAGUUCCUUCGAAGUCCAAAACGGGUUUGACCGGUGGUGGAGUUCGGGUCACCAAUUCGGCCUAACCACCGGAACUACAACGCAGGACCUCAUGGGGUUAGAACAACCCGUUAAACUAAGCCAUAUCAUAAGCCGGA